This 73-nucleotide transfer RNA is filed under the name Diaphorina citri (Asian citrus psyllid). It matches the Rfam family "tRNA". From Rfam's summary of the family: Transfer RNA (tRNA) molecules are approximately 80 nucleotides in length. Their secondary structure includes four short double-helical elements and three loops (D, anti-codon, and T loops). Further hydrogen bonds mediate the characteristic L-shaped molecular structure. tRNAs have two regions of fundamental functional importance: the anti-codon, which is responsible for specific mRNA codon recognition, and the 3' end, to which the tRNAs corresponding amino acid is attached (by aminoacyl-tRNA synthetases). tRNAs cope with the degeneracy of the genetic code in two manners: having more than one tRNA (with a specific anti-codon) for a particular amino acid; and 'wobble' base-pairing, i.e. permitting non-standard base-pairing at the 3rd anti-codon position. The record is from Rfam by way of RNAcentral. Lineage: Eukaryota; Metazoa; Arthropoda; Insecta; Hemiptera; Psyllidae.
GCCUAGUUAGCUUAGUUGGUAGUGCGUCUGCCUUGUAAGCGCUAGGCCGCGGGUUCGAUUCCCGCCCCAGAUA